This 420-nucleotide long non-coding RNA is filed under the name Androctonus crassicauda. The record is from RNAcentral. Lineage: Eukaryota; Metazoa; Arthropoda; Arachnida; Scorpiones; Buthidae.
CCUAUGUGUGGACAGGUUUAUAAAACGUACAUUCUUAUCACAGCCUGCAUAGCCUAGAGUACCCUAGCCCCAUUCCUCAAACUUGGUAUCCUCACAUCUUGGUCAGUUCUCUUAAUUAUUAAACACUAAAAUGUUGGCGGUUUCCGGAUAAGAUUGUCAGACUUUUUAGUGGUUUUCUGAGGUCCUCUCCCCACUGCUCCUCUGUGGUAGUUGCUGUGUGAUAAAGCGACAGAGUACUCUUUAAUUAGGUGACUGCAGCCCUUCCCCCUGGCAGGAGCCAUGUGUGAGACAUGAAUGUUUAGCUUUCUUUGAGUUUCAGUGCAAAGUGACUGUUGAGCCGCCACUCGAGUGUCAGAAGUUCUUCUCCAAACGGCCGAGAACAUUUCAUAGUUGUCUGUGCCGAAGUGUCUAUCAGAGUUU